This 18322-nucleotide long non-coding RNA is filed under the name Malus domestica (apple). RNAcentral's name for it is "long non-coding RNA (MDOM_LNC004398)". Lineage: Eukaryota; Viridiplantae; Streptophyta; Magnoliopsida; Rosales; Rosaceae. The record is from RNAcentral.
UUGAAAUGAAGGAAAGCUUAUUUAUUGAUAUCCCCGAUAAGUUACAAAUAUGUACAUAUACUUGAGUCAAAAUAAACAAACAAGAGGAAGCCUUCACAAAGGUUGCUUAGGAGAAGUCUCAGCAGUCGGUAGAGCCCCAGAAAGAGAAGGCACCGGAGGGGGAUCAUUCGGAGCCUCAGUACUGGACAAAACCCUAGAAGGAGGAGGCAUCAGAGGUUGAUCAUUUGGAGAUUCAUUACGCGGUACAGCCCCAGAAGACGAAGGCAAUAAAUGCCUUUGGAACAAACCCACAAAAUCUCUGAUGAUCAAGUAAAACCUGACCAUCAGAUUCCUUCAUCUGGUCAAGCUUCCUCUUCAUGUUUGUAGCAUAGUCAUGUGCGAGCCGGUGCAACUGUUUAUUCUCAUGCUUGAGCCCUCUAAUCUCCUGUUUGAGACUCAUCACUUCAGCCGCCAAUGAUUCAACUUGGCGGGUUCGAGCAAAUAGGCGUUGGGCCAUAUUAGACACAGAACCUGCACACUGAACACUGAGAGCCAGAGAAUCCUUAACAGCCAACUCAUCAGACCGUUUGGAAAGUAGUCUGUUAUCUUUGGGAGUGAGAAGGUUCCUGGCCACUACCGCAGCGGUCAUAUCAUUCUUCAUCACGGAAUCCCCAACGGUAAGAGGACCAGUAGGGGAGACGAAGGAUGGGCGCCAUAUGUUGUCUGGAGAAGGCGGGGCUGCCUCUUCAACAAGGUUCAAGUCAAAACGACGGUCGGAGGGGCCAGACAUUUUCAAAGGUGUUGAAGAGAGAAGAGGUCGGACAAAUCAAGAUCUUAGAAGUGCAAGAAUUGAGCUUCUACUGGUGGAUAUUCAAGUGUGCUUUGGAACUUAAUGUCAGCCUCUAUAAAAAUCUGCACUCAACGAAGCUUCGGAAAUCGAAGAGGCGCCUGCUCAGAAAUCGAAGAGGCGUUUGCUUUCUCAAAAGCUGGGCUGUUCAGAGACCACGAGGGUCGAUCUCAGAAAUCGAAGAGGCGUUUGCUUUCUCAAAAGUUGGGCUGCUCAAAGACCACGAAGGCCGAUCUCAGAAAUCGAAGAGGCUUGCUUUCUCAAAAGCUGGGCUGCUCAGAGACCACGAGGGCCGAUCUCAGAAAUCAAAGAGGCACCUAUUUUUCCAGCCUUGUCAGCACCUGUCACACGCACACUCAGCUUUGCGGAAAUUAUGGGCAUUCUGUCGAAGAUUUCUGGCGAAGAGAAAGCACAUGAAUCGUACUGUUCAAUCACCCACUUCCCACACGCAACAGUAGCUCAUGGGUACCACAGAUAACUUUGCCAAAGUUCUCUGACAAAGUUGAGACACGUGAAGCUUGCAGCUCCCACUACAUCGCUCUGACCAAGAAGGGUAAAAGAAUUGCAAAGAAACAACACUAACAAAGUUUAGACACAUAAAUUUUGAAGGUCUAGCUACCAUAUUAUUACCCACAAGGGUAAAGGAACAGUACCACUGCUGGAUAAUUGGAAUGUCCCGGUGUGUCAACCUCUGUGCUUCGUGGCAAGGUAGACUAGCAAACAUGCCUAACCUUUACUCACAUUCGAGAAAACACUCCCAACAAGAUUGCUUGCCCCAAAAUCGAAGAGGCACCGCCCUCCGAAUCUCGAGAGCCAGACUCCCAACAUGAUUACUUUCUCAAAAAUCGAAGAGAGGGUAAAGGAACAGUACCACUGCUGGAUAAUUGGAAAGUCCCUGUGUGUCAACCUUUGUGCUUCGUGGCAAGGUAGACUAGCAAACAUGCCCAACCUUUACUCACAUUCGAGAAAACACUGCCAACAAGAUUGCUUGCUCCAAAAUCGAAGAGGCACCGCCUUCCGAAUCUCAAGAGCCAAACUCCCAACAUGAUUACUUUCUCAAAAAUCGAAGAGAGGGUAAAGGAACAGUACCACUACUGGAUAAUUGGAAAGUCCCUGUGUGUCAACCUCUGUGCUUCGUGGCAAGGUAGACUAGCAAACAUGCCCAACCUUUACUCACAUUCGAGAAAACACUCCCAACAAGAUUGCUUGCUCCAAAAUCGAAGAGGCACCGUCCUCCGAAUCUCGAGAGCCAGACUCCCAACAUGAUUACUUUCUAAAAAAUCGAAGAGACAACGCUCUCCGAAUCUUGAGAGCCAGACUCCCAACAUGAUUACUUUCUAAAAAAUCGAAGAGACAACGCUCUCCGAAUCUUGAGAGCCAGACCCCCAGCAGGAUUGCUUUCUCAAAAAUCGAAGAGGCAUCGUUCUCCGAAUCUCGAGAGCCAAAUCCCCGACAGGAUUGCUUGUUCGAAAACCGAAGAGGCACCACUUUCCCAACUUCAAGAGCUGGAUCUCUUUGGAUAAAGCUUGUCUGUAAUCUUCACACGCAACAUCAGCUUUCCAGAUACCACAGACCACUUUUUCAAAGUGCUCUGACAGAGUUAAAACGUGUGAAGCUGGCAGCUCCCACUACCGUGCUAUAACCAAGCAGGGUAAAGGAAUAGCAUUAUUACUUGAUGUUAGGGAGACUCCUAUAUAUGUCGACCUCCAUCCCUAACGGACAGGCAGACCUGCAAAAAUGCUCAACCCUUUCUCUUAUCUGAGAGGGCACUCCCAACGAAGCCUUUCGAAAUUUUCAGCUUUCUUUCCCCCCGAUAAUACCUCUGUAAACAAGCUAUACUAGAGCAAGAAUAUCUCAUAUCAUCAGGGUUAAAAGCAAGAGUAUCCCAUAUCAUGCUUUUUCCCUGUCUUUUCCUUUGGCCUUGUUCUUACCUGCAAGUAGACCUGGCAAACGGGUCGUGUCUGUCGUGUUCGUGUCGUUUUCGUGUAACACCUGUUAUCUUAACGGGUCGUGUCGUGUCACACCUGUUAUCUUAACGGGUCCUUAACAGGUCGGGUCACUUUACCCAACAGGUAAAGUGACCCGACCCGUUAUGACCCGUUAAGAAAAAUAUAUUUUUUUCUUAAAUUUGCACAUACCACACAUUACCACAUAAAUAUUACUUCAAAACAUUAAAACAUAUUUGUCAUUUAAGUACUACAUCUACACUCGAAAAUAAGAGCCUAAUAUUUUGUGGUAUCCACUUGUGUAAAUAUUUUAAAUUGACGAUCGAAUUCAUUCAUUGUAUUCGUAUAGAGUCAACAAGUGUAGUUGUAAAAAAUCAUCAAAAUCGGAGUUAAAAUAACCGUUAAAUCGUGGUUUUUUGUUUUAUAACCGUCGAAAAGCUUUGUCUCAUUACUUGAUCUCUGAAUGUUUGUUUUUUGUGAUUUUUGGCGUAUGCGAUCUCGAAGCAUAUACAAACAAGUUUGACGGUUGGAUCGUUGAAAUUAGUUUCAUAGAAUUCGUAUCCCAUCAAAACGAUAGAUUCACUAACACUUAGAGUUUAUUUAUACUUUCAUUAAGUAUAAAAUAAGAUUUUGUGGUAUCCACUUGUGAAAAUAUUUUAAAUUGGCGAUCGAAUUCAUUCAUUGUAUUCGUAUAGGGUCAACAAGUGUACUUGUAAAAAAUCAUCAAAAUCGAAGUUAAAAUAACCGUUAAAUCGUGAUUUUUUGUUUUAUAACCGUCGAAAGGUUUUGUCUCAUUACUUGAUCUCUGAAUGUUUGUUUUUUGUGAUUUUUGGCGUAUGCGAUCUCGAAGCAUAUACAAACAAGUUUGACGGUUGGAUCGUUGAAAUUAGUUUCAUAGAAUUCGUAUCCCAUCAAAAUGAUAGAUUCACUAACAAUUAGAGUUUAUUUAUACUUUCAUUAAAUAUAACAUAAGAUUUUGUGGUAUCCACUUGUGUAAAUAUUUUAGAUUGACGAUCGAAUUCAUUCAUUGUAUUCGUAUAGGGUCAAAAAGUGUACUUGUAAAAAAUAAUCAAAAUCGAAGUUAAAAUAACCGUUAAAUCGUGAUUUUUUGUUUUAUAACCGUCAAAAAGUUUUGUGUCAUUACUUGAUCUCUGAAUGUGCGUUUUUUGUGAUUUUUGGCGUAUGCGAUCUCGAAGCAUAUACAAACAAGUUUGACGGUUUGAUCGUUGAAAUUAGUUUCAUAGAAUUUGUAUCCAAUCAAAACGAUAGAUUCACUAACAAUUAGAGUUUAUUUAUACUUUUAUUAAGUAUAAAAUAAGAUUUUGUGGUAUCCACUUGUGUAAAUAUUUUAAAUUGACGAUCGAAUUCAUUCAUUGUAUUCGUAUAGGGUCAACAAGUGUACUUGUAAAAAAUUAUCAAAAUCGAAGUUAAAAUAACCGUUAAAUCGUGAUUUUUUGUUUUAUAACCGUCGAAAAGUUUUGUCUCAUUACUUGAUCUCUGAAUGUUUGUUUUUUGUGAUUUUUGGCGUAUGCGAUCUCGAAGCAUAUACAAACAAGAUUGAUGGUUGGAUCGUUGAAAUUAGUUUCAUAGAAUUCGUAUCCCAUCAAAAUGAUAGAUUCACUAACACUUAGAGUUUAUUUAUACUUUCAUUAAGUAUAACAUAAGAUUUUGUGGUAUCCACUUGUGUAAAUAUUUUAAAUUGACGAUCGAAUUCAUUCAUUGUAUUCGUAUGGGGUCAAAAAGUGUACUUGUAAAAAAUCAACAAAAUCGAAGUUAAAAUAACCGUUAAAUCGUGAUUUUUUGUUUUAUCACCGUCGAAAAGUUUUGUCUCAUUACUUGAUAUUUGAAUGUUUGUUUUGUGAUUUUUGGCAUAUGCGAUCUCGAAGCAUAUACAAACAAGUUUGACGGUUUGAUCGUUGAAAUUAGUUUCGUGUAUCCCAUCAAGUUCAAUGGUGUGUGUGUAUAUAUAUAUAUAUAUUUAUUAUGUAGAUUUAAAUCUAUUUAUUUUGUACGUAUAAUUAUUAUAGUUUUUUUUAGGGGUAUAAAAUUUAAUUUAAAAUUUAAUAUAUAUAUAUAUAUAUAUAAUUAUUAUAUUUAAUAUUUUGGGGGUAUAAUUAUUAUAGCAUAUAUAAUUAUUAUAGUUAAUUUAAUAUAUAUAUAUAUAUAAUUAUAGUUUUAAACUUUUUAGGGGUAUAAAAUUGUUAAAUUAUUAUAUAUAAUUAUUAUAGUAUUUUUUAGGGUUAUAAAAUUAGUAAAUUAAUAUUCUGCUUAUCGUGUAUCGUGUUACCUACGUGUAUACCCGAACCAACCCGUUAUCUUAACAGGUGCUUAUCGGGUUACCCGAAAAUACCUGAUUCGUUAUCGUGUCGACUCGAACACCUGUUAAUUUCGGGUCGUGUCGUGUCGGGUUAUCGGGUCGUGUCAGGAAUUGCCAGGCCUACCUGCAAGACAAGGAGAAAGAGAGCAAUCAGUCAGCACUUGGAAUCAAGCUUCCAGCCAGGAACUGACUGCCUGGAAACCCUUACCUGAUUACUUACCUGGCAUUGCUCUCGAGUACUCAUCUUCAACAUCUUAUGCUUCCAGGGAAGAUACCGCAUCUGCUUGAGGAACAGAUAGGGCAAGUGAGAAGGAUACAAGGAAGCAUGUGGAGACAAGCGUAACAGCACACGUACCGAUACAUCCACUACUCUGUCAAAAGCAAAAGUAUCCCAUAUCAGCAGGGUCGAACGUACUCUAGAUUUGAUGGACUUGUUUUUGACCCUCAAAUUCUUCAGUCGGCCUUAUACUCUGGAGGAAACCAGAAAACCCUCCAGCCCAGUUCAAGAAUAAGCCUGUGGAAAGUUACUUCUUCAAAAGCAAAAGUAUCCCAUAUCAUCUCUCCUCAUUUUUCUUCUCUUUAUCCUUCAUGCUGCCUGCAAGAUAGGGAGAAUGUGAACAAUCAGCCGGAGCUCUGAUUGCUUACCUUGUCUGUCACCUCUUUCAGCAGAUCCCCUAGCUCGGCGACUUGGGGGACUCCUACUACAUGGUUUGUAUCGCGCUUGACCAAGCAUGAAACUACAAGUAAGCUUCAAGUGAAAUUGAUACAUUACCUUGUGCAUCUCCACCAGUUACAGAUACCACCCCUGGAUGGAGGAAGAGUACUUCCAGAGAAGAUGCCACAUCUACCUAUGAGACAGAUAAGGCAAGUCAAGACGAUACCACACUCCGGUACUUAGAAGUUUCGUGGCUACGAGAUCAUUCUCCCACAAUAUUUCAUAAUGUCAUUUGUACUAAAUCAUUCACUUGUACUCACUAAAGGAGAGCUUGAACCUAUGUACUUGUGUAAACCCUUCACAAUUAAUGAGAACUCCUCUAUUCCGUGGACGUAGCCAAUCUGGGUGAACCACGUACAUCUUGUGUUUGCUUUCCUAUCUCUAUCCAUUUAAAUACUUAUCCACACUAAUGACCGGAGCAAUCUAGCGAAGAUUACAAAAAGUGACCGUUUUCGCUACCUAGGAUCUAUCUUGCAAGAGAACGGAGAAUUAGAUGGAGAUCUCAACCAUAGAAUACAAGCUGGAUGGAUGAAGUGUAAGAGUGCAUCCGGCGUGUUGUGUGACCGUCGUAGGCCACUGAAGCUCAAGGGAAAAUUUUAUAGGACGGCAAUAAGGCCAACAAUGUUGUAUGGCACAGAAUGUUGGGCGGUGAAGCAUCAACGUACACAAAAUGGGUGUAGCGGAGAUGAGGAUGCUUCGUGGGAUGUAUGGGCACACGAGAAAGGAUAAGAUUGGGAAUGAGGAUAUCCGAGGUAAAGUAGGAGUAGCCAAAUUGAAGGAAAUAUGAGAGAAAAUCGGUUCCGGUGGUUUGGACAUGUGCAAAGAAGGCCUACUGACGCUCCGGUUCGAAAAUGUGACUACGGGACAGAGGUUCAGGGCCGAAGGGGUAGAGGAAGACCUAGGAAAACUUUGGAAGAGACCCUAAGAAAAGACUUGAGUACUUGGAUCUAACGGAGGACAUGACACAAAACCGAGCGCAAUGGCGUUCUAGGAUUCAUAUAGCCGACCCCACUUAGUGGGAAAAGGCUUUGUUGUUGUUGUUGUUGUUGUUGUAUGUCAUUUUUUUUAAAUAAAAUUAAAAAGUUACUCUCACAUCCAAAGGACAUGCCAAGAAGCUAUUAUUUCAAUUUCCUGGAAAUUCAAACCUUAUUCAGAAAAUUAGUCAUCCGUAACCACAAAGCCUAAAGGAGGUUAAGGUAGCAUCCCCAAAAGGGUAUCAGGGUGGUAAUAAGUUUGAUCCAACUACAAUGGCUAUGUUGUCGAUCAAUCUGACUAUGCAUUCAACAUCUAUUUAGUAUGACAGUCAUUAGUCAGAUAAUUAAAUAGUCUGAAAACAUACUGGAUAAUGGAAAUCUUAGAAGUUUUAAGCAUCUUUUACCACAUCAAUUAGGCUUUCAUAUAUUCUUUUUGGAACUGAUUAUGCAUAAAACAUACAUAAUAAAAUAAUUCCAUUGCUUACCUCAGCUAAGUAAUCAUUCCCUGAUGGACUUUGCUCAUCAAAUAUUUGUGUCUCACUAGUACCUGACCAUAAUGAAUAAAAAAUUAAACAAGAUCCAAAAAUGAAAAUGAGCUUAGUAACUUUAAAGAGGCUCCUUAAAUUUGGAUUAUGAGUCUCGAGUAACGGAAAAUCAUAUGCCAGCUAUGGGGAGAUAAUGAGUGUUGCCUCAGCACAAUGACUAUAUAAUAGUUACUAAAUGGUCUUCUAACUCACUCCGACAUCAGAAUGUAUCACUUAAGAUAUUUAUCAAUUAACUAGCACGCUCCAAUUCCAUGGGGUAUUGAAAUGCUCAGUCAGAAUCUAAUGAUCCAGAAGAAUAAAUUCCGCAUAAAUGUCUACAAUGUUUUACAGAUGAAUACUAGCACAGCAAGAAAAAUAACUGAAACUUCAUGCAAACCAAGCAAUAGGAUGAUGCAGUGACUUAAUAGAUAAAAAGCAUGAGACUGAACAGACCGUAGUAACCGACAGCUGUUGCGCUAACCAAGACUGUAGGUCGAACUGCAUCUGGUAAAUCGUUUAUUAAAUCUAUGACCUUCACAACCAGUUGAAAGGUCAAAUCAGUUUUUGGUUAAAUAAUACUCUUUUUAUUAAGAAAAGGAGCAAAAAGUGAUUUGUAUUUUGACAGCCGCAUGAACUAAUCAGUGUAAGAAACACUACUAACCUUCGAUGUGACUCUAAUCCUGCUAGUCUUUAUCUCUUUCUUUAUCUACAGUCCAAUUAGAAGUUAGUAACUUCUAGGCAUACAUACAUAUGUUCACUUCUGAUAUUAAAACACCAUGAAUCACAUACUGUAUGGCCUUAGCCAGCAAUGUUCUGUCAAUUCAUGGCAGUUUUACUGCUAUAAAGUUUAAAUAUUCACCACUGGUACCAACCUCAGGAGACCAUCUUGUGCUUAUGGGCAGUCCACCCAAAUUUACGACACCAGUUGAACCUUGAAUGCUGUCUUUCCACUGUGGCUCCUCUGCAAUCAUGAUUCCUGGAAAAUCCUUGACUACAGAUGGCAGGGAAAAUUUCAAGUGUUAACCCAAUACAGAAGACUAACUAUCUCAAUAUUACCCCGGACAAUAAACCAGCAGUUAACAAUGAUUCAAGUACUGGGGUUAUUUCAAUCUGUAUACGAAUGUAACAACUUAUAUUCGGCAAUUUUUUUAUAUUUCAUAAUAAACAAAUAGAAUCAGUUUUUUUGUUAAGUUACCAUGUCCCCAAAAGCUUAACUAUUAGGAACCAAGCCCAACAACGUAUAUCAAGAAUAAUUUAACAUGAAACACUAACACUCCUCCUCACAUGACGUUCACACAACAACUGAACCAAAUGAGGCCUUACAGGAGCACAAUAGAAAUUAACAAAAAACUGGGGUAUCAAUACUAGAACCGAUGGCUUGAGGAACAACCUCUCUCCAAACCCUAACCCUAUCAAGCAUCAAACAACAACACACACUAAAAAUUUGUGUAAAGUAUACAUAAAAUAAUUCUUCCUUUGGUUUUUGAGUUUAUUCUUUGGGAUGAAGGAGGGGUUGUUGGACAGAUAUCCAACUGUUUAACCCAUUCUAAUUUUUUUCUUUCUAGAAGUUGAUUAUCACAAGAGGUCGCACUUGGUGCGAUGGCAAGUGCCUUCGCCCAUGAGUUGUAGGUCUCGGGUUCGAGACUUGGGAGCAGCCUCUCCAUAAAAUGGGGGUAAGGCUAGCCGACAUGCACCUCUCCCAGACCCUGCGUAAAGCGGGAGCCUUGUGCACUGGGUACGAUUAGUUAGAUUAGUUUAGAAGUUGAUUAUCCUUCCAAGUGUUGGAAAAGUAAACACUAGCUGCUUAUAUAUCAUUGCUUUUGAUGUAAUGAGGAAGUGACUGGUAGAAAGCACUGGUGGAAGAAUAGAGCAGCUCCACUUUCAAAUGAUUCACAUGAAUUUGAUUUUCUUGGUCCUCAGAAAAUCUAACUGAGUCUAAUUUAACUUGGAUUCAUAGAAUCAUGUGCACAAACUUACUAUUCCUAGAUUUCAAAAGAUUUGAGAAAAUAGCCAACAAGUGUACAUUACCUUCUUACCCGGAAAAAUUAACUCAGCCUUUGAUCUGGACCGUGUCAAGACAUGCACACUAUGAUUAUCUGCAUUACAAAUUGGAUCACCACAACCUUGAAAUCAUUUGUUUUGGUCGUAAAUGCACCUUGUUAUGCAUAAAUACUGAAAGAUAUGCAUGUCCCUUCUUGCUAGCUCCAGUAAAAAAUAAGGACCAAAUCAAUAGUCAUUGGGAAAUAAUCAAAUAACAUAAACAGGCAUUAAUCCGAGGUGGAUGCACGAAAAUAAAAUAUAAACACAACAGAAUGGAAACACUGCGCAUAAGUCUGCAAGAUUUCUAUAAUAAUGGAGAAGAGAAUGAGCAUAACCUGCAUGCAGCCUUUGCACCAAUCUUCUCCCGAUAAAACCCGUAGCUCCAGUUAUUGAUACAGUCAACUGAUUUGCCUAAGACAACCUACAAAGAGUCAAUCUCCAACAGGCAAAUGCAACCUAUAAAUGCUCAAAUACAUUCAUGUGACUUUCCAACUUUUUAACCACACACAUAAAUGCAAUCAUCCUAAUCAUCUGAUUUAUCACUCAUCAUCACCCACUAUGUUAUAUUAAAAGGGCUGAUGAUAAGUAACUUUGUGAAGCCAAAUCCCUACAAGUUCUGGACCAAACUGCAAUGCAAAGAGGUGGUAAACGUGAAGUUAGUUAGUUAGUUAUGUGGUCAGUCCAGUCUCCUUACACCCAAGUUCGAAUCCCCCUCCCGGAAAAUUAGAAUAGUUUAGAAUAUCGCUUGUGUCAGUGAUAGAGUAAUAAAUUCUAGUAAAUACUGAAUUGACCAAGUAAUUUGUAUAAAUAUGAACAGAAAUGUACGUGUGCGUGUGUGGAAGGAUUCGUAGUUUGAAGAGCAUUACCUUCUGGGGUUGGUCAGACGCACACCAAACACAGAGUCCCCGAGUCUCACGCUUCUAAGAAGCCAGAAAACAAAAAAGAUUAAAAACAAAACAAAGGAGAAAUUGGAGAAGUGGGUAGUGAGUUACUCACAGAGAGGGGCAGAGAGACGUGAAGAGAGGUGGAGACAGUGUGGGUCCAUGAGAGAGCAGUGGCUCCACAGACCUCCAUUGCUGCAGCUUGGGAGCUCUCUCUUUCUGCUAAAACAAGAAACAAGAUGUUUUAUUUCUGUUCUGUGAGAUGGCGGUGAAAGGAAAGACUCACAAAUGGCAAUGUGUUCGAUUUCGAACCACACCCAAUGACCCAAACCAAAGCAACCACCGAUUUCCAUCAAUUGUCUUUUCUCUUUUGUUUUUGGUAAAUUAUUAAAUUAGAUACGAUUUGUAUCUAAUUUAAUAAUAUAUUUCACUCUUGUAUUCUUAUCUUGGGCUAUUUUCAAUAUUUAGGCGUAACGUUUGAAGCUAUAAAGUCAUACUUGACUUUAAAUUUGACUUCAAAAGUUAUAUCAUCUUCAAUGCACAUUUUGACUUUUAACUCUUGUGCAUAAAAAAUAGCUAAACUUAAAGCUAAAUUUUUAUUUUAUUUUGAAUCGUAAACCACCGUACCAUGUACAUUUAUCCAUGAUAUAAAAAACCAUCAUCGACGUUCUCCUUGUUGAUUCCACGAUAGAAGCAUCUUGAGUGAUACAAAGCCAAGUCUUACAAACAACAAUAUCUUCUUCAUGAGAAAAUGAUGGACCUCUUGCUCUUUUGAUUUCCUAGCUCGACUACGUGUGUUUUCCAUAAUAUGACGAGGCUAAAUAGAUUAAAUGUAAUUCGAAUAAAAAUAAAGGUUUGCAUUUGUAGGAGAGUUUAGAACUAGUCGUCACUACUUUUCGUCAAGAUAUAGAUUAUGGGCGUUGAAUAUAUGUUAGGUGCAACUCUUUCAAAGAAAAAAUGACAGCAACUAUUUGAAAUUAAAGUCAUUAAGCAAGAAUUUUAUUGUAUACCAUUGAAUGAUGACAACAACUAUUUGUAGUUUGGUUCGAACAGUGAUCUCUUGUUUGACUGGACACUCGCUCACUUGGACACCUAUGUGCUUGGACACCCAUUCGUUCGAGCACUUACAAGACUGAACACCCACAAGCUCGGACACCCUUAAGCUCGGACCUUGACUCAUAGACCUAACUUGUGGACCCAACUCAAAGACCAUAUGUAUGGUCCCGACUUAAAGACCUAAUGUGUGGACCUGACUUGUGGACCGACAUAAAGAACUAAUAUGUGAACACGACAAGCAGAUCAUGCUUAUGUUGAGAAUCAACUCAUAAUGAGUGCACAAUGAAGCAAGUGCAUACUUGCAAUGAGGAAUGCCACCAGCUGAGUUGUCUCAGAACGAGCAUAGCCUCUAACCGCUCAAUUGCCUCGCCGCUAGCACUGUCUCUAGUCGAGCAGCCUCGCAACUUGUUUUACUUUUUGCCGAGUAUUGCUUCAUGAUGAGCACCGCCUCAUGUUGAAUUCGACCUGCACAUGGAUUGGAUUUGAAGUCUUUAGCCAAAAGACUCUAUUGACUAAAGACUUAGGGGACUCCUGUUGUACCAUAUAUGGGGUCUCAAUAUUUGGACCUCAAUGCAUAGCCCAUGAUGUAUGUAUGAGAGAAGGGAAACUCUUAGUCUACAAAAGGAAUCAUUCACCCUCACUUUAGGAAGAUGGCAAACCUAGCUUCUUUAACAACAAGCCUUCAUAUACAAUGUAACUCUCAUUUUAACUGGAUCGACACCAGUGUGGGCAUAGCCCCCACUUGUGGUGAACCACUCUAUGUUGUUGUGUUCUUGUGCGUAUGUGUGAUUUAUGAUCGAAUUUAGUUGGUCCAAGAUCGACCCCGAUUUUGUGCAUCAACAAAGUUGGUCAUCACUUUUUGAAAUGAUAAUUAUAUUUUGUGUAAUUCAAUGAGGAUCUUACUUUUAACCGAAUGAUUGUGUCAAAUUUAGAGUCAAAUAUGACUUUUGACUCUAAAUUAUUCAGCCUAUUAGAGAUAGCCUUAUAAGUUUACAGGUUGUUUAAAGAAUUUGACAUAGAUUUUUUUUAUACUAUUUCAAAUUUCAAAAAGAGAGAGAAAAAAGGGAGAUAAUUCUCUAAUGUAAUUUGCAUCUGUUGCAGUCAUAUUUAGAAUAUGAAUAUGAUUGUGUAAAUUCUAGUAGAUAUAGGAAUAUCUUUUAUAUUCCUAUUAGGAGUUGAUUACCUAUUAAGAGUUGUAAUCCUAGAAAGGUAAGGAUUUUACCUAUCCUACUACUAUAAAUAAAGGCACAAUGGGGCAAUACAACACACACCUCACAAUUAAAUCUCUCUCUUCUCUCUUGCUACCGCCGACCCUUCCCUCUCUAUUCCUUUAGAAUAGCUUAGUUAAAUAGGCCUACAACACGUUAUUAGCAUGUUCUUGCCAGAAGCUGAGGAACUAACUAAUCGUAGGAGGAAGCUAUCUUCCACAAAAUCCAAAGGCUCUUAUUUGUUUUCUGCUAAUCAGGUACACUUAAAAUAAAGAAAGAUAUUUGAAACGUCCACAAAGCAUGCAAACAUUCCCCAUGAUGCAUGAACCCCUCUAUGUUUAUAUUUUCCUUAUAAUAUAUAUUGUAUAUGUUUCAUAUAUUUGUCAAUCAUAUGUUUCAUGCAUUACACAAUUAAAUUGCUAUGUGGAAUUGUGAGUCAAGGAAUAUAAAAAAAUUAGAAGCAAUUUAGUGUUUUUAACCCUAGAACUCGAAAAAAAAAAAAGGAAAAAUUUGGGAAUUUUUUUUUACGGCACCACUAUGCUGGCUUGAAGCCUAGCCAUGUGAUGACAAACUCUUGGGAAGACGUCGUUUCGAUGUCCCUGGACCAUGUGUGCAACCCUCUAGGCUUGUUGCAUCUCUUAGACCCAACCAUGCUUUGGCCUGGAUUGUAUGCUAACACAGGCCUGCAACCCCGAUCCAAUCCAGCCCAAACUCACAUGCUAGAAGCAUGCUGGGCUUGUCCCCUGACAUAGGCUUGAAGCCCCGAUCCACUCAAGCUUAUUUCAGCACAGCCCGUAGCUUGCUGGGCUUGGCCAUGCCACAACCCGUGACACUAGAAGCCAGCCUAAAUGGCUAGGCUUGUCCCUGCGGCCUAAAACUGAAACCCAGUUGCGACUAGAGUUUCCUCGCUCACCCGCAAGCCUUUGGGCUUGCCCUGUGCACAUGGCAUGGCCCAAAAUGCCAGCAGAUUUGCUAUUGGGCUUCCCACCCGCUCUCCCGAGGCCCAAUACGCCUACAGCCAAACCUGCAGGGCCCUUGUCCCAUAUUAUUUUGCUUCCAUGAUCGACCUCGUUUGGUCCCGAUCUAUUGAAUUAAUUAAAACCGACCUGCAGUCCAUUAAUCUGAUUAUGAAUAUAAAAUUAUUGACCUGAAUAUCACUUUUGGACAUUAACGAUUCAAUAAUUUAUUUUUAUACUUUGAACUGUUGACAUACUUUCGUAGUCCCCAAGCUCUCACACUUGGGUUCCCGAAGAAACUCAAAUCCACUACACCAUAUUGCAUUCUAUGUUUCUUGCAGGAACCUUUUCUUUAUGAACUAAUCAUUCAUAAAAACUAAAUUGAACCUGUAGUUUCAUAUUUAGUGCCUUUGAAACCUGAAGUUUUCAUUCAAAACUUACCACAUGAAACCUGUAGUUUUCAUGUAUAAAUUAAACCAAUACAUGUCUAUAGACCCUGAAUGUUCUACGAUAUAUGUCUAUGGAUCACCAUAUGAUUAAUCAUGUUUUUUGUACCCUUCGUUUUAGGGACAUGUCGAACUUGAACAAGCUCGAUUUCACCGCUCUAAAAGUAUCUGGAAGAAAUUACCUGAAGUGGUUUCAAGACUUGAAGCUCCAUCUUACUGCUAUAGUCGUUCGGACUUUAGAUGCUAAACAAGAUCCCUUCCGUCCAAAUGAGGAUGAGGAAGAGAUCUUGGAACCCGAAGUUCCUUACCUAAGUGCAAUUGGGGCUUUAUUGUAUUUGUCUCAAUGCAUUAAACCCGACAUUUUCUUCGUUGUUAAUCUUUUGGCUAGAUAUAGCAAUGCGCCUACAUGCAAGCACUGUAAUGGUGUUAAAGACAUUUUCUACUACCUCAAGGGCAUUAAGGAUUUAGGCUUGUUCUAUACCCGUGAAUCUUCAAGCAUUACCGCCCCCCUCAGUUCUUAGAUUGAUUCUCACCUUGUUGGUUACGCAGAUGUUGGAUAUAUGUCUGACCCACAUAGGGCAUAUUCUCAAACAGGCUAUGUCUUUACCGUUGGAGACAUCGCUAUAUCAUAAGGGUUUACCAAGCAAACGCUAGUUGCAACUUCUUCGAACAAUGCUGAGAUUUUCGCCUUGCAUGAAGCAUUGCGUGAGUGCUUUUGGUUGAGAGUAGUUAUGAAACAUAUUCGAAACACUAGUGAUCUUACUUCCAUCGUUGGCCUUUCUACGACGAUCUUUGAAAACAAUACAGCAUGUAUCGAGCAGUUAAAGAAUGGAUACAUCAAGGGAGACAACACCAAGCACAUAAUGCCGAAAUUCUUUUAUUCUCACCAGCAACAACAGCAUCAACGCAUUGAAGUCAAGCAAAUCCGUUCCCAGGACAACCUAGCCGAUCUCUUUACCAAGUCAUUGCCCAAGUUUACUUUUCAGAAGCUCGUCCAAGGAAUCGGUAUGCGUAAAUUAUCUGAGUUGAAUCGCUUGUAUUUCUCUUAUUUUGAAGUUAUGUCUAACUCAGGGGAAGUAUCCAGAAACAUACUCACUUAAUCUUAAUGUACUCUUUUUCCUAUGAUUAUGAGCAUUUUUCUCAUUGGAUUUUUGCUACCUAACAAGGUUUUGAUGAGGCACCCAUCUUGGGAUGAUCAUACUCCAUUGAGUUCACUAUUUUCGUCUUGUUUGAUGUUUGAUGUUUGUUUUAGACAUUAUGCAUACUUCUCACUUUUCUUCUUGGUCUAUGGGUUUUUCUCCCAUCUUGGGUUUUACCAUAGCGAGGUUUUGUGAGUUUUACUACCAAUGCAUACUUUCUUUAAAUUUGAGACUUUGUUCACCAGUUGUGUCGACGACUUCAUCAACUAUUCUACCUUAUUAGCUGAAGAUAUGAUGCGAUGGUUUGUUGAGUAUUUAUACACUUAAGGGGAGUGUUGGAGUCAUAUUUAGAAUAAGAAUGUGAUUGUGUAAAUUCUAGUAGAUCUAGGAAUAUCUCUUAUAUUCCUAUUAGGAGUUGAUUACCUAUUAAGAGUUGUAAUCCUAAAAGGGUAAAGAUUUUACCUAUCCUACUACUAUAAAUAAAGACACAAUAGGGUGAUACAACAUACACCUCACAAUUAAAUCUCUCUCUUCUCUCUUACUACCGCCGGCCCCCUCCCUCUUUAUUUCCUUAGAGUAUCUCAGUUAAAUAGGCCAACAACAGGAUCACCCAUUUUUCUAGUAAUAUUCUCUCUUCUUUUUUAUUUUUUUAAACAGUAAUUAGUAAUAUUAUUAGAACAUAAUGGAUUUGGGCUUUAUAGCCAAUCCGGGCACAAUACAACUCAGCAACGGAAGCCUACCCAAAAACUAAAAUAUUUGAUAACAGCAGCUGUGAAUAGUCAGAAUAGUGGUGGAUGAAGUGGAAGAAAUGGCGAUGAUGAUGCAGUGGUGCGGCGCAGCGGCGAGGCGGGUGCUGAUGGCGGAGCAGCGCGCCCUCUUCACAACCUCCUCCUCUUCCUCCCUGGCAGCAGCAGCAAUUGCAAAAGCAAAUGUGCUUGGGGCGCCGAUGCUGUGCGGGCGAGGAGACAAGAAGACGAAGAAAGGGAAGCGAUUCAAAGGGUCGUUCGGAAACGCUCGGCCGAAGAAGGAGAAGAGGAUCGAGCGCAUUAAGGACAAGGUUGAGGUCCCCAGGUCCACCCCUUGGCCUCUCCCUUUCAAGCUCAUCUGAAAUUUUCAAUUUUUCACUCUCUUUUUUCUUAGGGUUUUAGCUCCAUAUAUGUAAUGUCGAACUCCCUAAUUUUAAGUGUUUAUGUCAUGCCUUGUUAUCAAAUGGAGGCAUUUUUAUUUUAUGUCAAUGCAUAUUUCUGGUAUAUAUGUUUCUAUUGUUAAUUUGUUUGUUUGAUGGGUGUUAUAAUUUUGUUGUCUAAAACCACAAACGCAUGAUAAUAUUUGAAAUUUUGAUUGAGAGAGCUACUUACAAUGGGCAGACAUGAGCGUGGGCAGACAUGAGCGAUUGUGCUCCCCCGCUUCGAAUCCCCCUCCCCGUAGUUUAGAUUGGAUUAGGAUGUUGCUGGAGCUACUUAGAAUGGAAAUGUAGGGACUUAUACUGUUUAACUGUGCUAUUCAUUCUUAUUGGGGUUAAGAAUGAAAAUGGUGAUUGCUGAAUUAGUAGGGAUUUGAUCUGCAUACGGUGAAGUACUUCCUUUUCUCAGGAGCCUUUAGCAGGGGAUUAGGGUUUAGGGGUUCUAACUUCGGGUUCUGUGGUGGACUUGUAAAUUCUAUUCUCAUAGUGUGUAUUUUCAGUAUAUAAUCUUAUAAGACCAUGUUUCACUUACUUGCUUGAGUAACUUCGAAGAUAUCUAGAAAUAGAUUGAAGCAAUUUUGUUGGAGUGGAACUGACAAAAAGAGAUGAGUGCAAUACUAGGCGGAAAUAUUGAACUAGGUAGAUACAUUAGAGUUUGGACUGGUGGGUGCAAUGUGAGUGUAGCAUAUAAGGAUGGUUUGUGCUUUUGAUAAGAUGGACACCAACUAUUUACUUCAAAAUGCUUUAUGCAUAGGAUUAGGUGUCAUGAGUUAUGAUAUUCAGUUUGUUGUGUGCGGGGUGAAAACGCAUUGUGGUUCAAUUUGUGACACUAGCUGCAUGCCGAUGGUAUUAUUCCAAACAUUGGUAUGAUUGUAUACGGAUAAUAGUGGUUAUGGUAGAGCUUAGUUGCCAUGGUACAUAUUCAAGAUGAUAUUCCUUGGUGUAUGCUUUUCGCAGACGAUAUAGUGUUGAUAGAUGAAACUCAGGAAGGGGUAAAUGCAAAGCUUAACCUUUGGAGAGAAGUGUUGGAAUCUAAAGGUCUUCGCCUAAGCCGAUCAAAGACAGAAUAUAUGGAGUGCAAGUUCAGUGCAAAUGGAGGCCAAAACGAGUUAGGGGUGAGGAUCGGAGAUCAAGAAAUACCAAAGAGCGACCGUUUUCGUUACCUAGGAUCUAUCUUGCAAAAGAACGGAGAAUUAGAUGGAGAUCUCAACCAUAGAAUACAAGCUGGAUGGAUGAAGUGGAAAAGUGCAUCCGGCGUGUUGUGUGACCGCCGUAUGCCACUGAAGCUCAAGGGAAAAUUUUAUAGGACAACAAUAAGGCCGGCGAUGCUGUAUGGCACAGAAUGUUGGGCGGUGAAACAUCAACACAUACACAAAAUGGGUGUAGCGGAGAUGAGGAUGCUUCGUUGGAUGUGUGGGCACACGAGAAAGGAUAAGAUUAGGAAUGAGGAUAUCCGGGGUAAAGUAGGAGUAGCCGAAAUUGAAGGAAAGAUGAGAGAAAAUCGGUUACAGUGGUUUGGACAUGUGCAAAGAAGGCCUACUGACGCUCCGAUUAGAAGAUGCGACUAUGGUACAGAGGUUCAGGGCCGAAGGGGUAGAGGAAGACCUAGGAAAACUUUGGAAGAGACUCUAAGAAAAGACUUAGAGUACUUGGAUCUAACGAAGGACAUGACACAGGAUCGAGCACAAUGGCGUUCUAAGAUUCAUAUAGCCGAUCCCACUCAGUGACUUGGAUUCUCCAAGUCUCCAACCGAGAAGUUUUCCUCACUCGGGAAAUUAAGGGAACACUACCCCAACCUACAUGCUCCACUCAGAAAGCUUCAACAUACAAGCUUCAACAAAAAGAAAAUUCAAAGAACUUAGCGAAGAAGGCUUUGGUGUAUUUAACACAAUACGUUGAAAUGAAGGAAAGCUUAUUUAUUGAUAUCCCCGAUAAGCUACAAAUAUGUACAUAUACAUGAGUCAAAAUAAACAAACAAGAGGGAGCCUUCACAAAGGUUGCUUAGGAGAAGUCUCAGCAGUCGGUAGAGCCCCAGAAAGAGAAGGCAUCAGAGGGGGAUCAUUUGGAGCCUCAGUACUGGACAGAACCCUAGAAGGAGGAGGCAUCAGAGG